UCGGGUUUUUCUUUGCUAUUCUUGUUUUUCAACCGAGUGCCUUUCUUUGGCCAGUACUUCUUAUGAACCCUCGAGUUUAUUUUCUUUUCUCUUUUUUUCUCUCGAUCAUUCUCUUUCUUUUUUCGCACUCACCUUGGCUUUUGAAACUUAUGGGAUUUUACCCCAAACUUAUAAUUUCAACACAACUUAAUAAUAUCAACUUGACUCCGAAUAGGGUAAGGAAGUGUUUUGGCCACGGGGUACAUUUACGGGGUUAAACAAACAAUGGAUACAGACUCAAAUGGGGUUACCAAAGGAUAAUAUUAACGGGAUGGCUAGAAAGGCUCAGGGGUAUAAUCAAACAACAUGCCUCAGUGUGUGUAUACAUGAAGUGAAACUCCUAGAGAACCUACGCAAAGUC
Molecule: long non-coding RNA, 400 nt
Filed under: Lathyrus oleraceus (garden pea)
Lineage: Eukaryota; Viridiplantae; Streptophyta; Magnoliopsida; Fabales; Fabaceae
Description: Pisum sativum (pea) long non-coding RNA (PSAT_LNC005620)
Source: RNAcentral